This 7662-nucleotide long non-coding RNA is filed under the name Cricetulus griseus (Chinese hamster). RNAcentral describes it as "lncRNA (ENSCGRG00015030823.1)". Lineage: Eukaryota; Metazoa; Chordata; Mammalia; Rodentia; Cricetidae. The record is from RNAcentral.
UUUUUAUUUAAAGGGGAAGGGAAUAUAGCUCAAUGGUAAAACACUCGCCUAGUAUGCACAAUGCCCUAGAUUCAGUAAUGAAAAAAAAAAAGAAAGAAAGCAAUGCCUCAUCAUGUACAUCAAUUUAUGAUCUUGGAGUUUAAAAUAAUGCCAGUCUGAAUGGUGAAUGUCUAGGUAUUGUUAAAGCUUCAUCUACUCUGGCAGACUGCUCUGUGUCUUUCUACAUUCUGGAAGCUGCCUGUAUUCCUUGGCUUGAUCAAUCCUGCUGUUAUGGGUAUGGGGCUCUCAGUUCUCAGGCAAGAGAACAAUUUAAGCAAAAUUUUAUUAUUUAUGAAUAUUUAUUAGGUAGGUGGCACAGCUGUGGAUAUUUUAUAAAUAUUUAUGAGGUGGUUGACAAUGUCAUGGGGUAAGAUGACCCCUUUCCCUCUCAAAAAACAGUGGACAGGAUCUCCACUUCUGGAUAUUUUCCCCCAUGUUCCUCUAGGAAAACCCACACAGGGAGAGGGUCAAGGGCCACAGUGCAAAUGAUGUUAUAAGGAAGGCAGGGUCUUUGGUAGAUGCAGACCCUUCGCUAUCGCACAUGUGUGAAAAAUGCAUUGUUUUCCAAUCUAACAGAAACAACCCAACUGCAGCCUCAAGGAUUUUUCACCAGAAGAGAUGCUGUGAGAAUCACAGUUCCCAAGAUCCAGCUGUGGUUUUCCUUAGUUACCUCAUACCUAACUCCCUGCCCAACAUUAUCACUGCUUUGUUAAGGCACACCUCCAUCCUUUGUCAUUGUCACCACAUUGUCACUCCCCUGACUCUUCAUCCUCCUCUCCAUCAUGAGAGUCCCAGGGAUUCUAUAAGACCCACUCAGGAUGAACCAUGACCUUCUUCCCAUCCUGUGUCUUCAGUGUAAUCUACAAAAUCCCCUUUAAGGCCUAAGAUAAUGUACUUGUGGAUUCUAGGGGUUGGGACAUGGAGCUCUGGAAGACGGAAGGUGUAGUUGUUAACAGUGGUCGUCAACUUGAUGACAGAAUCUAGAAUCUCUUAGAAUGCAAGCUUUCAGGCACACCUAUGAAGAAUUAUCCAGAUCAGUUCUCAACCAGUUGGUCAUUCGGCCCCCUUUCACAGGGGUCGUAUAUCAGAGAGCCUGCGUAUCAGAUAUUUACAUUAUAAUUUGUAACAGUAGCAAAAAUACAUUUAUGAAGUAGCAACAAAAAUAAUUUUAUGGUUGAGGGUCACCACACGAGGAACUGUAUUAAAGAAUCGCAGUGUUAGGAAAGUUGAGAACCACUGCUGUAGAUUAAGUUUAACCUUUGAGAAUGUGUGCUGGCUAGGUUUGUUUGUUUUUGUUUUGUUUUGUUUUGUUUUUUGGUGACUUGGUACAGGCUACAGUCAUCUGGGAAGAGGGACUAUCAGCUGAUAAGUUGCCUCCAUCAGAUUGGCUUGUAGGCAAUGUUUGUGGGCUUUUUAUUGAUUAAUGAUUGAUAUAGGAGGGCCAGCCCACUGUGGGUGGUGUCACCCCUAGGCAGGUGGUCCUGGGUUGUUUAAGAAACUAAACUGAGCAAACCCUGGAGAGUGAGCCAGUAAGCAGCACUCCUCUAUGGUUUUUGAAACAGUUCCUGAUUCUGCCUUGAGUUUCUAUCCUAACUUUCCUCAAAGAUCGACAAUAAUCAGAAUGUGUAAGCCAAGUAAACUCUUUCCUUUCCAAGUUGCUUUUGGUAAUGAUCUUUAUCACAACAAUAGAAAUCAAACUAAGACUCAAUAUCUGUUCAGGAGUGCCUUCAUUUGGGAAAACACACCCGCUGUGGGUGGCGCCAUUCCCUGGGCCACCCUGGAGUGUAUAAAGAGGAGAAAGUGACCUGAGCACAAGCACUUGUUGCUUUCUGCUCAAGAAAGCAACCAACUAUGCAGCAAAAACCAAAACCCUAAAAUAAUUCUGCAGAUCUUCCAAUUUGACAGAACCGUUUUGGAAGCUCCUGGGUGUUUGUGACCAGUACCCACAGUAGUAUCAAGAUACCAGCUGUCUGCCCAUGGUGACUGCUCUGGGGCUCCUCGUGUAGGAUUUGGCUUCUGUACAGCAACAUUUGCACUUCUUAAUACAUAACCAUGAUGCAACGCUGGCUAAAAAGAAGAAAUAGAAAAAGGUUGAUGAAACAAAGAAAACAAGGACCAUAAAAUGGUAGUUCUAUAAAUCUGAAUCAAAAUGAGCUUCAUUCAGCAGACUCUCAUAUUGCAUUCAGCUAAUCAAAGUGUUUGUAUGGCUCAUCACAAUGCCUCUUGAAGAGCAGAAACCAAAGCCAUGAAGGGAAAAUAUAGCAGCCAUUACAUGCUAUUUGACCUUCCAUUGUCAGGAGUAAGGACAGUUACAGCCUGCUCUUGUAAUUUGCCGGAUGGCACAUGCACACAGCAAUUGGAACUCAUUUUGUUCAUCUCAUCAUUUAAACACAAAAACAUGGUAUUAAAAACUUUUUUUCUGUGCAAAAGGCAUAAAUUCCAAACAUUCAUUUAGGAAACAGUUUUUGUCUAUUUCUGAUGCCACAAUGAGUCAUUGCAUUUCAUACAUUUUAAUGUACAGUACAUUCAUCUCUGUGCCAAGAUGACAUGUUAUUUUAAAACUUAUCUGUUAACACAGCAAGCCUUUCCCUUACCUUACAUAAUUAAACAUUUUAUUAUUGGGUAUAUGGAAAAGAUUGAGACUCUUUUUACAUUACAGGCAUCACAGGUUUUUAACUACCCCUUGCCUAAAUAAAAUUUUAUUAUUUUAUUUUAUUCUUUUUUAAAAAUCGCUGCUUUAUUACACAACUUACAUAAUAAUUCAAAUGAUUUCAGGUUGAUGGCAUAGGCUGGUAGAACCUGCACUCUGAAGGCAGAGACAGGACGAUUCUGAGUUUAUGGCCAGCCUGGGUUACAUAGUGAGACCAUGUCUAAAAAGUUAACUUCAACAUGUUUGGAAGAGUUAUGUGGGGAAAAUAUUCUCCAGUCAAAAUUUCGGUAUUUAGAGACGAGGAAAAUGGUGCAAGAGUCUUGAACCCCUUACUAUGAAUAAAGACCAGUGAGGUUUAUGGGUGAGAUUCUUCCUUCCCUGCUCUCUCAAGGCAGCCUGAGGACAGGGUAGGCAGUCUAUAGGGUCCAGAAGGUUUCACCUGUGGUCCUGGCACCCUCUCUCCUACUCCCAUCUCAGUAUCACCCCUCUAGGUUCCUCCCUCAGAGCCUUAAUUUCUUUAGCAUCCAAGUUAUUCAUGUUCCCUUUAUGAGGUACCGUCUUCCCCUCUACAAAGUGGGAUCUCCCAUUAUCUGUACAUACAUAUACAUAGUGCCUGAUUGCCACUAUCUGCUCAGAGCAGAUACACAAUGGGGAUUGGCGAGGGGGGGGGCGCAAAAGGAAGCUGCAUUCUCAGCAGUAACUCUACGGCUCGUGAUUUAUCUGGUGGCUCUGCCUGAGACUCAGGGUGUCUUAGUUAGUGUUCUAUUGCUGUAAAGAGACACCAUGACCAAGGAGGCUCUUACAAAAGAAAGCAUGUAAUUGGGGAGCUUGCUUAUCCUUUCAGAGGUUUAGUCCACUAUCGUCAUGGAGGGGAGUGUGGUGACAUGCAAGCAGGUGCUGGAGCAGUAGCUGAGAGUUACAUCAUGACGGCAGGCAGAGAGAGACUAUGGGUUUUAGCAUGGGCUUUUGAGACCUCAAAGCCCACCCCUAGUGACAUACUUCCUCCAACAAGGCCACACCUCCUCCAACAAGGCCACACCUACUCCAACAAAGCCACACCUCCUAAUCCUUCUUAAGCAGUGCCACUCCCUGAUGACUAAGGAUUCAAAUAUAUAAGCCACAGGGGCCAUUCUUACUCAAACCAUCCCACAGGGGCAGAUUCCCCAAAUGCUAGUGGAUUUGUUUACAGCAUCUUCACAACGUUCUUAUUUACUGGGAACUGUGUCCCUUUUACAGCACCAAGAAACAAAUAAUUCCUACCCAACAUGUAUUUACUUUCUUAACUAUUUCUAACUUCGGGGAGAAACUUUCUUCAAAGUCGAUGCUGCCUUCAUUUACCCUGGACUUCCCCACCUAUACCCCCAGGAUCCCAGAGGCUAGCAUGCUUGAGACCUAAUGGAUCUGUAGGGUGCUGGCCGUCCCUUUCUGGUGUGUCUCCUGAAUUUUACAGAACCAUCUGGGGGUCCUCAUCUGGCUCCUUUCCCUACAGAUAAUCCAGUGUGCACAUGGACACAGGACAGUCCACUGUUUUGUUUGUUUGAAGAUUUAUUUAUUAUAUAUACAUUGUUCUGCCUGCAUGUAUGCCUGCAGGCUAGAAGAGGAUGUCAGAUCUCAUUAUGAAUGGUUGUGAGCCAUCUGCAGGUGCUGAGAAUUGAACUCAGGACCUCUGAAAGAGCAUCCAGUACUCUUAAACUCUGAGCCAUCUCUCCAGCCCUGUUCUUUUGUUUUGUUGUUUUGGGAAACGGUUUCUCUGUAUAGCCCUGGCUGUCCUGGAGCUCGCUCCUGGUGCCUCUGUCUCUGGAAUGCUAAGAUUAAAGUUGUGUACCACCAUGACCAGCUCUGUUUUUGUUGUGGUUCAGUUUUGAAACAUGGUCUCAUACUGUAGUCCACACUGCACAGAACAGUGGUGCAGCUGACCUUGAAUUCACAUCAAUCCUCCUGCCUCAUCUGAGUGCCUGAAUUACAGGUGAGAAGUACCACAUCUGGCUGACCAUUCAGCUUCCUAAAAACACCUUCAUUGAUCCAGUCGUGGGAAGAAUCCGUUAUGUCCACAUUGUCAACCCUACCACCAGUACCUCUCCUGCUCAAAUGUUAAGGCUUUCUGAAGUUGGGUACCACGCUACUGUUUAACAUUUAUCACCCCAAACUUGUUACCACGCUGAUGACCACAGUAGUGGCCUUUACUCCAUCGCCACCUGUCACAUCUAGUGUCCCGAUCAAUCUACUGUUUGCUCUUCUGGUUUUCUCUCUUUUAGGAGAAUAGAGGUCACCAAACAAGGUGACCAACGUAUUGGCAGGAGCUUAGGUGGCAAUUUGAGUGGAAGCCUGACCCCAGGACAGGGGUACUGGGAGUCGGGUAGGGGGUGGGAAAGAAUUGCAAACCGCCUGAGGAAUGCUCUGUGGUUAUUGAGUGAGGUAUGCAACGUACCUGGGACAAACGAAACACCCUCAAGUUGUUGUUUUAAGAAGAAACAAAUGAUUCCAUAGAAUACAACGAAUAUCAUAGACCCAGCACGGAUUCUAUUCAUUUUUACCCCGCUUCCGCAGUAAAGGGUGAUUUUUACACUUUCUGAGCAUCUACUCAGUGUAGGAAGUGUAGGUUUCAUGCCACUGAUAAAAGAAAAUUAGUUUCUUGACCAUAUCCAUUCUCCUUUACCCCCCCCCCAUUUGUCUCCUUGCCAAGUAGCCUUCCUGCUACUUUUGACUUUUUAAACAUUUAUUUUUUUCAAAAUAAAGUGUAGGUGUGUGUUUGUGCACGCCGCAGAUCUCCCCCGAACUUGAGUUAAGGGGCAGGGUGAGACGCGGGUUGUGGGUGAUGGGAACCGAACCCGCUUUCUCUGCAAGAGCGGUACUUUUGACCUCCGAGCCGCCUCGCCAGUCUCUCCCCUUUGUAUUUUCAUAAAGCACGGCGUUUUAAAAAUUCUGGUUUUAAGAAAGAAACAGAUAUUCCGAGGUUUCUAGCUCUUUGGGUUUUAAACGGUGGAACUUAGUUUUAAGAUGAAAAGAAAGGAAACACCUGCAGCUUGGACCCCCGAGGCCCCUCGGGCUGAGCCGCCCGCCGGGGCUGUCUGCGCGGUUCGCCUUCUCGCCAUCGGAAGGGCGGGUCGGGGAUCCGGGUUCGCUUCCCGAGGACGGCAGCCGCGGGGUCGCUCGGUCCGCCCCUGCCAGGCCGGUCUGCGCGUGCCGGGGGCUGGAUCUCACGGAGCGAAGCCCCGCAGAGGAUGCCGUCGCUCGCCCGCAGGCUUGGCCGUGCGAGCCCCUCGUGGGACCCUCGUCCAGUCGCUCCUGGAUCCACCGGUCCCCAGACACCGGCUCGUAGCCCCAGGGCUUCUGACACACCUGCUGACAACAGGGAGAAUGCCAAGAAUAACUCAGGUGCUCUUCAGUUUAUGACAAGAUGACCAGACACCUCAAGAGGAGAGCAUCAGGCCUCUGACAGAGGAAAAGCAAAGGAUGAAUGACAGCUUGAACCUGGCAGAUCAAGAGACUGCUAAGCCUCCAUGGUUUCAAGGGCCAAUUUUCCUCCAUCCCGCCCUCCUCACCAUGAGAAACUGAAGAAAGUGGAGAAAACCAGCUAAGCACAUGUGUUCAUUUACUCAUUGCUUCCUGGUUGUAAAUGAGGUGUGACUCCUUCUCAGAAGAGGCCUCCUCUGCCACAGUGUACAUCACCCAUGGCAACGACAGUGUGGAAAACAGCCCCUUUCUUACGCGGAAGACAAAGUCACUGUUCAGAGGACGGCGCAUGGCUUAGUCCAAGGUCUCGUGGCUCUUUUGUGAGUGGCAGAAGCUGCUGUUCCAUUUUGAGACACAGUCUCACACACCUCAGGACACGUAGCUGAGGAAGACAUUGAACUACUGGCCUUCCUCUGUGUACCUCCCCAGUGCUGGGGUUACACUCUCGAAUUGUUAAAUCUGGUUUUUAUGCCGUACUGAGGAUGGAACCCAAGAUAUCGUGCAUGCAAGCUGGAGCAGGAAUCCUGCCAGCCACACCGGCUUCCCUUUGCUUUGCUGGUCUCAGGGUCCACACCCUACCCGAGUGGUAAACAGCAUCGCUCAUCUCACCAAGGAAAGAUAUAGAUUGCUCUGACCCAGGCUUGGAUUCGCUUCUGGGUCUGGGAACAGACAAGAUUCAUACCAAGAGCUCUGUCUGGGACUGAGGAGAGAGAAGAGGUUUAACCUGAACAGCAGAUCCACUGCUUGGAAACACAAACAAAUAAUGAGUGUUCUAAUGACUAAUGAGAACAGGUUUACAGGCUUCGAACGCACGUCAGUCAUCUUCGGAAUCUCCCUGCAGCCUGUGAGAUCAGAUAAGUGUUCUCUUCCUGUCCCGGAUCUUAGGGAGCCCCACUGUCUAGAAGCUGUAUGACCUCUCGCUACUGAGUAAAGGUGUCUGCCACCAAGCCUGAUGAUCUAAGUUCCAUUCCUGGAGCCACGUGAUGGAAGGAGAGACCCAACUUCUGUGAGUUGCCCUCUGACCUCCACAAGUGCACCUUGGUAACUCCCUAGAAAUUAAUUAAUUAGAAAGUAAAACAAACAAACAAACAACAACCCUACUGUAGUUCUGCUCUGCCUGGGACAGGACCAGUGGCCUGCUUGGUUCCUUCUACCUCAGCUUCCCUGUGCAAGGAUUGUAGUUCUUAGCUGUGACAAAUGGUGCCGCCAUGAACAUUUGGAAUGGGCACAAUUUUGUGAGGUAUUUGUGUUGGGAACGGAAUAACAUCAACAGGGUAGAUAAAGGAUUGUCGGCGUGGCUUUACCUUCAAACUGCCACCUCCAGCAAGGCAGAGAAGUGGGCAGAGGUCUCUGUGAAGGGGUGUGGUUUCUGGAUCUAAGAAUGCUGGGCAUAUGCCACUUGGCUACUUGGAGGCCAACUGGAAUGAAUGUGCCUGGGAGUAAGGGCUGCCGUGGUCCUGGGCCACCUUUGCAGAGAGGCAAUGGGGUAUCAGCCCAAGGGAGGUGUAGGCUGUAGCUGG